This 465-nucleotide ribosomal RNA is filed under the name uncultured bacterium. RNAcentral's name for it is "partial 16S ribosomal RNA". It matches the Rfam family "Bacterial small subunit ribosomal RNA", at positions 338 to 795 of the family's 1533-position model. The record is from RNAcentral.
CCUACGGGUGGCAGCAGUGGGGAAUCUUGCGCAAUGGGCGAAAGCCUGAUGCAGCGACGCCGCGUGAGUGAAGAAGGUCUUCGGAUCGUAAAGCUCUGUUGUUAGAGAAGAACGUGCGUGAGAGUAACUGUUCACGAAUUGACGGUAUCUAACCAGAAAGCCACGGCUAACUACGUGCCAGCAGCCGCGGUAAUACGUAGGGUGCAAGCGUUAUCCGGAUUUAUUGGGCGUAAAGGGAGCGCAGGCGGUAGUUUAAGUCUGAUGUGAAAGCCUUGGGCUUAACCGGAGAAGUGCCUGGGAAACUGGGAGACUUGAGUGCAGAAGAGGACAGUGGAACUCCAUGUGUAGCGGUGAAAUGCGUAGAUAUAUGGAAGAACACCAGUGGCGAAGGCGGCUAUCUGGUCUGUAACUGACGCUGAGGAGCGAAAGCGUGGGUAGCAAACAGGAUUAGAUACCCCAGUAGUC